UUCCCCUAUAAUUUCGAACAUUUGUCAGUUAUGCCUCAGACAAUUGCCAAGAAAAGUCAGUUACAGUACAGUGAAAGAAAAUCAAAGAAAAAAGAGGUAAAUUUAAGAAAAUUUAGGUCCCAAAGAUCACAAGUUAGUCACUUAAUCGUAUUCUCUUCAAAAAUAGAAUCCCCCUACAUGAAAAUCAGCAAGAUCACUCAUUUCAGACGUUUGACGAUUCCCAAACAAAGACACAAUUGACCACUGAGGAAGACGCACAGUAGCGUCGAAAGCUCUGGCCCCUAAAAUUGAAAGGAUGUGUUUGGGUUGACCUACCGUCCCUUGGCUGACGCAAUUCGGAAGGAUUUAUCCUAAAUCAUCAAAACAUUAAAAU
Molecule: long non-coding RNA, 373 nt
Organism: Lutzomyia longipalpis
Lineage: Eukaryota; Metazoa; Arthropoda; Insecta; Diptera; Psychodidae
Exons: 2
Source: RefSeq, a predicted model, not a curated record